GCGCCCAUAGCUCAACUGGAUAGAGCGUUCGGCUACGAACCGAAAGGUUAGAGGUUCAAGUCCUCUUGGGCGCG
This 74-nucleotide transfer RNA is filed under the name Elusimicrobiota bacterium. RNAcentral's name for it is "Elusimicrobia bacterium (hot springs metagenome) tRNA-Arg". It matches the Rfam family "tRNA". Rfam says of the family: Transfer RNA (tRNA) molecules are approximately 80 nucleotides in length. Their secondary structure includes four short double-helical elements and three loops (D, anti-codon, and T loops). Further hydrogen bonds mediate the characteristic L-shaped molecular structure. tRNAs have two regions of fundamental functional importance: the anti-codon, which is responsible for specific mRNA codon recognition, and the 3' end, to which the tRNAs corresponding amino acid is attached (by aminoacyl-tRNA synthetases). tRNAs cope with the degeneracy of the genetic code in two manners: having more than one tRNA (with a specific anti-codon) for a particular amino acid; and 'wobble' base-pairing, i.e. permitting non-standard base-pairing at the 3rd anti-codon position. The record is from RNAcentral. Lineage: Bacteria; Pseudomonadati; Elusimicrobiota.